This 356-nucleotide unclassified non-coding RNA is filed under the name Hevea brasiliensis (rubber tree). The record is from RNAcentral. Lineage: Eukaryota; Viridiplantae; Streptophyta; Magnoliopsida; Malpighiales; Euphorbiaceae.
GAUGGAUGAUUAUAUGGUGGCAAGAAUGCUAUUUUCCGGAAUUCCCUUGGAAGAAUCAUAUAUUCAGUACCAUCAGCUUAUAUUAAUGAGGGAGGAGAAGAAGAGUCUUAAAGGGGGACGCAUUCCCAUCCCUGAAUCAUAUUAUUUGAUGGGGACUACUGAUCCCACUGGAACCCUAGAGGGUGAUGAAGUUUGCGUAAUCUUGGAAAAUGGACAGGUUUCAGGGAAAGUAAUGGUGUAUCGCAAUCCUGGUUUACAUUUUGGAGAUAUACAUAUUCUGAAGGCGACAUAUGUGGAGGGUUUAAAUGAUUUUGUAGGAAAUGCAAAGUAUGCUAUAUUCUUCCCUUGUAAAGGAC